UACGUAGGGGGCAAGCGUUGUCCGGAUUUAUUGGGCGUAAAGAGCGUCUAGGCGGCUUUACAGGUCCGUUGUGAAAACUCGAGGCUCAACCUCGAGACGCCGGUGGAAACCGUAAGGCUAGAGUCCGGAAGAGGAGAGUGGAAUUCCUGGUGUAGCGGUGAAAUGCGCAGAUAUCAGGAAGAACACCUAUGGCGAAGGCAGCACUCUGGGACGGUACUGACGCUGAGACGCGAAAGCGUGGGGAGCGAACAGG
RNAcentral lists this ribosomal RNA (253 nucleotides) under uncultured bacterium. RNAcentral's name for it is "partial 16S ribosomal RNA". It matches the Rfam family "Bacterial small subunit ribosomal RNA", at positions 524 to 776 of the family's 1533-position model. The record is from RNAcentral.